AUACAUUUUUCUCAACCGUCAGUUGACAUUUUAGCUUUUAGCUCGGUGGCGAUUGCCGGAAAACACCCGGAAAACCCACAAAUGAUCGGUUUCAGGCAAUGCAAGCAAUGCAACAAUUAAGGUGGACGUCAUCAGCAAUGUGAAUGAAUGAGAUGGUGCAGGACCCGAUUCUGUUUACGUGAACGGGGACUAUUUUUUCUCUGGACUACUGAAAUGCGAUACACAACGUUUGCUGGCUACAACUAGUUUGUGCUGAAAGGCAGCUAUUUACUUACUAUUUAUAAUUUUGCUGGUAACCAUAAAAGCAAUAAGGGACUUGAGGACGAUAAAGUACAGCCUUUCGUACCUUAUUGCUUUAUUAUAUUAGUAAGACAAAAGAAUUGCUUAAAUGUUGCAGUUACCCCUUUGUGAUUUGGAAAUAGUUGUUACCUCAGUUCAAAAAACGGAUAUAAUAUUGAUUUCCAUUCAAGACAUUUCCCACUAAAAAGUUAACACUAAUACUGUUAAACAUCUAAAAUAUUCAUAAUGACUGUAAUUAGCUGGGUGUAAAAUACUAACAGUUAAAGGAUCAACGUGUGCCUAAAAUGUGUUAAAGUAAGUUUUUACACUCAUCUAGCAAAGCAACAAAAGCCAUGAAUGGGCUUACACAAAUUUCAAUAAGGCCCAGGCUUCAACAGCCUAUUUUUGAUUUACGUAUUUAAACGCAGUUAAUCCUUAAUGCAUUAAUCAUCAAGGUAAUAAAGAGAUCACUGUUAGCUAGUUAGUUAUUACUUGAAAUACUGGCUUCACAGAAGGGAAACUUUGCCAAGGCCAUUACCAGAGAACAAUGCAACUCUUCAGACGUGGAUCCAAUGUGUAUACUAUUAUACAAAGAUCUAGAUGAUGAAACCAGCUGUGCCAGCAGAUGUUCGUUCGGAAUUCAGCUUCUCAUUAAGAGGUGGGGGACAGUAUGAGGAAACCAGAGGGAAUCCUUUUGUGAAGAUUAUUGGUGUAUCCUCCCGACCGGCUCCUCUAAGCUUGAGAUGUCUUUUACACCUAAUAAAUCCGCUUGAUUGGUCAAUAAUUAAAAAAAACAAACAUGUUUUUGUUGCACAGUAUAUGCAUGUCGUGUGGUGCUAUUUUAUGCAAGGGCUAGUAAGUUUUUAAGCAGUGUAAUCAUUUUAUUCUGUGUCUAUGUAGGAGAGGCUUAUGAGUACAUCUGCAAUAACGUACACCGUGGUACUGAGGUGCAACCUGAUCGCCGGGCCAGAGUUUUGUCAAACAGAAAGAUAGCUGACAGAUCUUAGUUUUUACUGAGAUUUCAGAUUGAGCUUUGUCUGUAAAUAGGAAACAACAUUUGGUCACAGGAAUGCAAAAGAAAUCACCAAGGGAUCAAACCUGGAACUGCGCUGUCGUUGAACACAACUCUUUUUAAUAUGUAGUUUGAAGUGUUGAUUGUUCUUAUCUUGUUGCAUCUGUUUCUUAAACAAGAAGCUUUAAAAAUGUAAUGUUAUUCAUCAGUCUUACCGUAAAUGUUGAAUUACUAUUGGUUUCAUACUUCUGAAAAUACUAAAAGACGGAAAUAUCAACAUGUAUUGGUGUAAUGAUUAUUGCCAUCUUUAAUUAAAAAACAAUUAAUCAUCUGGUGAUUUUGCAUUAAGAAUUACUCCAACAGUACUUUAAUAUUUACCUAUUUUCCAUGACAUAAUCAGCGUCAUCCCGUUUCUGUGUUUGAUACAAAUUCAGCACACACAGAUUGUCUUAGCUCCUUUCUUGCUCUCCAGCAUUCUUAGGUUCAUGUUAUUUGUGUAUCUUAUGAUAUGUUGAGCAAACUGGACACAUCUGACAAAGACACAUUUGUGUUAUUUUUCUCAAAAGAGGGAAGCAGUCCAAAGGAGUCUUGAGCUUGGCUUAACCGAUUCGAUCCUCUGGCACAGUUACACUGAUCUUAACUAUUGCAUAUUUUAAUGAGUUUGCCCGGUAGUCAAAAUAAAUUGAAUUAUCGUUUCAUCAAACAUCUGUUUGUUUACUUGUGGUGUAAAUGGAAAAUGCAACGUUUCAGUGGACUUUUUAAUGCCUACCCUGCCGUCGUCGUCGAGUUGCUGCCAACGGCGUUUCCCGUAAAACCCGGAUUCUAAUGAGGACGUCCCCAGUCAUCAGUGAGUUUGCUAAUACUUGUCAAACGCUGAAAAAGACACUCUCCGCUCUCUAGUUGGCGGGACACAAGCUCUCAGCUGAGCGCACACACACACACAUACACACACACACACACACACAUUUAUGGAUUUUGGGGUGGGACUGAUACGGAGAAAUGUGAUAUCAUGCUCUCAUUGUUUUCGAGAAGAGGCUUGUGCUCAUAAAACGUACAUGCGUAGCGUAUCGUAACUUGCAAAUCAAGAAAGGUUUUAAUUAACAUGAAUUAGCUGCAGCAAAAUAACCAGCUGAGACUAAAUGAGUAACCUAGUCGGCUGUUUGGCAGUCAGUGUUAACGUUAAUAUCUGCUCUCUAUUGUCUUCUGGUUCUCAGCGUUCUUUACGUGCACGUAUGUAGAGCUGGCAGAUGUGCUGUACUGAUAGGCAGAGGCAACGGGGAGGGGUCAAUGGCUGUGAUUGCGCCCACCUCAAGUCAAUUUAGAAGGAAAAAAAAACGAUCUACGUUGUUUUAUGGGCAGGUGAGAUGAAAAUUUUGAAUGAAUACAGACAAUUGUGUCCACCCAAAAGGCACAUCAGUCCAUCCUGAAAGUGCAUGGACUGACAGAUGGCCAGGCCUUCCCUGAUUAGACCCGAUCCAAUAUGCGGUUGACCUGGAAAGACCUGAAUAGAGACACACCAUCAAAGCAGGCAGCAGUAUGAUGUUAUAUCAAUUAUUUAUAAAAACACAUGUGAAAUUAAGCUAGAAACUAUGUCCAACAAUAAUGUUUUCAGGAUUCAAACACCAUUAAUUAAGGUAAAUAAAUUCUAUUUUCACUUUCUGCACCAGUAGUAGACAUUCAGUAGCCAACUGGGCAACAGAAGGUGAUCAUUUUUAAUAAAAUGUAAUCCGAUCUGAUGACAUAUCUUUUACAGACUUGAAGCUGUUGGUAGUAAAACGAGACCCAACCUGAUGAAGCACGUUAUGGACCCAAUCUGACUUUUUUUCUUCAGAACCAAAUGUACAGAAGAAGAACUCCCAACGGAGGGUUCUUCCCUGUCAAUCAGCAGUUCCAAUAAAAACGCUACAGUGUGACUCUUUAAUGAAAGUUGGUAAAAUAAUGACAUCACUUUGAAUUUUACCCUGCAACCUAAUUUCAAAUAAAGGUUCGAAAUACAUGAGGAAAGAGCGUGCACACCACACACAGACAGAUGCUCACGCGUUGCUUUUAAUGGCGUGUCUCAUUGGCACACCACAUUACAAAUCACUUACAGCGGGUGUGAAGAUCAGUGGCCUUCUAUUCUCUCAUUAAGGGUAAUUAAGUUGGAGUGAUGGGUGUAGUUGGUGGGGGAGGCCUGAACCUGAUUGUCCACUAGUCUUUCAGUGUGAAGUGUUGAUGAUUCCUUUGGACACAGCAUUGGACAAGGAGCUGCUGUAGGGAACACUCUAAUCAGCUCUGGCCACACUCCCUAACUUUAUUCUCAUUAAAGUUGGCAAGUGACAUUUAACUACUACACCAGGGACUUCACAAUGCAAAUAAAUGGUAACUUCAGUGUUGGAAUUAUAAUGGCCUUCUUAUUCCACUUUUAAUGACCCAAUCUAGAUUUCAAAGUCACUUCCUCCGCAGGUCGGCUUGCUCGCUCCUACAAGCCUUCUUAUUGGCUAAUAGAGAGCAAACGAUGUCAAUUUAACUGUGGAGGGAUUCUCGGCGGUAAGAGGAAGAGGCUAAAAAGUCAAUAACUUACUUUACCUCCUCCACUCCACCUACUUCCAAACUGUCUUUAUUCAGGCCCAUUUGAGUAUUUUCAUGGUACAUUUAAUACAGGAGUCUCUCUAAUCCCCAGGCCCACCUAAUGAGACGGUAAUGAAAAGUUAAUCCACAUAGCUCAACUCCACCUAGCCUUUAGCUAAUGCUGCUUUUAACUCCAGCUCUCAUUAACUUUUAAAACAUGUGCCAUUAACAGGUUGGUAGACGACCCAUCGGCUGACUUUCCAUCCAACCACUCACUGUGUCUGAACUUUAAAACAUAAUUAGGUUAGCGAGAGAAAUUCACACUGACCACCUAAUUAGGAUACAGUGUGGAGUUCAGCUGUCAGAGUAUCGAUUGGAUGGGGAUUCUCUGGCACGUGGUGGUCAGGUUGGACACUAAACCCCAGCUGGGGUCUGACCCUGAUGUCUGACAGUCUUUUAAUUGUUUUUGAGGAUGCACAUCUAGACACAGAUAAUAGUUUUCGCUUAUCACGUUUGCAUUCUUAACCAGAGGGACCAUUAGGAGGUACAAUAUCAAAUAUAAUUUUCUUACCUACGGGACUAUUUGUAAUUUUUCACAGCAACUACAAAUAUUGAUACGUUGUUGUGCGAAAUCCACUUUCAUUAGGAAAUGGUGAAUAAUUUAAGAGGAUGAUUAAAAAUAAAUCCCAGCCAACCAACAUCAUAAGCUUUAGGGGGGGGGGGGUAGGCUAUCUAGUGAUUUGAAGUAGACCCUCCCACCUCUAAUAAAGACAGCGUCUGUUGUCUACCAGCCCAUACAUGACAACACUGGGGCAUAAAAUAUGUCUUACUGAACCAACGAUAAAUAGUGAUUUGAUUACAAACGGUUAAUGCAAGGGCAAACAAGUGUGUGUAUUUUGCAUUCCUGGGGCUUUCUUGACAGCUCUCAACUGAUUACCAAUUCAUCAUUUUUGUGCUGUGGUGACAGAUAAUUCUACAGCACUGUUGCUCUGGAGAAUGAAAAUGAGGUUAAUGAAUGUGGAUCAGGCUAAUUCCUCUGUCCUUGCCAGACCGCAGGCCUAUAAAAUACCCAUAUAUGCAGACCUGCAUGGGUAAAAUGGUUUGUAGCUAAAUGGAAAUUUUCACAGGCCCCAUGGGACAGUGAGCCUAAAAGCACAUGGAGCUCUGCUGUCUUUGCAGUAAUAAAGAUAAUGUCUUUCAGAUAUUAAAAACAUUUUUAAAAAGUCAUCAGUUGCAUGAAAAAAAAUGCACAUCCACAUUUAACUGUGAGGGAAGUCGUGUAACUUCUUAAAACUAUUUAUAUAUCGUAUACCGAUUAUCAUUUUGGGGGAACAAUGGAUGUUACAGCAUGCCGGCUCUACACACUGCCGGUUUCAUAGGGACAUGUAUUUAUGUAAGAAUUCUUAGAUACAGGCUCUGCACCUGAGUGAUCAGCGGAGACCACAGGCUGUUGUGUCCAGAGAAAAACCUCCCCUGUUAACACUUUUGAAA
Gasterosteus aculeatus aculeatus (three-spined stickleback) is the source of this 5332-nucleotide long non-coding RNA. NCBI's taxonomy places the organism in Eukaryota, Metazoa, Chordata, Actinopteri, Perciformes, Gasterosteidae. The record is from Ensembl.